Molecule: long non-coding RNA, 1242 nt
Filed under: Gopherus agassizii (Agassiz's desert tortoise)
Lineage: Eukaryota; Metazoa; Chordata; Testudines; Testudinidae
Description: lncRNA (ENSGAGG00000025243.1)
Source: RNAcentral
GGCUCUCUGGAAAAGCCUCCCUUACUGUGUAGGUGGAGAGCCCAUAACAGCACUGUGGUGAGUGUUGAGCACUUCAUGUUCAGUUCAGAUUCAUUCAUUCUGAGCGGCUCCUCGGACAGAAGCGCCAGACUGUGGACCCCAGAUGGGAAAUUUGUGGGAACCUUUGGGCAGGAAAAGAGAUGGGACUUGAAAAAUCCAUCAACAUUUGCCCACCCCAAGGAUCCCUGGAGUGAGAGAAGAGAAAUCAGGAAAAAACGAACGCCAACCAAGCAGCCGGCAUAUACUGAUGGGCGGCUCUUCAGUUCAAGGGAGCUUGUCAGAAAUGUGGUGGGAGAGACAGAAGAGAAGGUAAACCAGGAGAUCAAUGGGGGAAGCGCAAUGGAGGAGAAAGAGCAACUGCAGGAGUUCCAAUUACCAAGAGCGGAUGGUGCCCAUCCUUCCACAUCCCCCAGCCAGAUUUCUGCCGCGGAUGCAGUGCAAAGCAGCCUGACAACUCCACAAGUGUUCACCGGUACCUCAAAUCAAAGAAAACACGAGUGCCAGAGCCUUUUCAGACACCAUCUGGAAAAUGACCUGGUGAAAAGAAUUACAGGAAGGAAAGCCCGUCGGCGUGUGUUUGGGGCUAUCAGUGCUAACAAAUUCAACCGGUUUGGGACACUCUGUUCACCUUUUCAUGCACUAGUAACUCCGGAGAUGCAGAAAUUAACUUUACCUCAAGACUUACCCAUGACCCCUCGGAUGCUGAGGCAGGGCAUAGUCUGCAGCACCGAGACGGACUUACGGUCUUUACCAUUAACCUUCCCAGACCUGGACGCCAAGAAGACAGAAGAGCCCAGCCUGAGUGAGAGAAAGAAGUCAUCAGUCCACAUGAAAGCCCCUCUGCUUCCCCCAUUAGUUAAACCUACCAGAGCUAGCCUCUCCCACAGUAAAAAGGCUAAAAGUUUCCAAUUUCCCUCCCAGUUCUCACAGUAGCUGUCUCUAUUAGCCUGUAAUAGAUGCUAAGUACUGGCACCUUCUGAAAGAGAAUAUCUGGAUUCCAUUUCUACAGCAAUAUGCUUUGUCUUUUUUUGUAUUAGACCCUGGAGCAUUGUUUUAAGCAGUCCCUUUGACACCUAAAUUCCUCUUUGAUACACACAUAAAGUAAUUGCAAAAGAGUAUUUUUGUACUUUGGUUUCAAAAUGGUGAAAUUUCUACACUGAAUCAUGAAAAUAAAGCAACUAACAUGGGAUUUUGUGAGGGGCA